GAUGAAGAACGCAGCGAAAUGCGAUAAGUAAUGUGAAUUGCAGAAUUCAGUGAAUCAUCGAAUCUUUGAACGCACAUUGCGCCCCUUGGUAUUCCGGGGGGCAUGCCUGUCUGAGCGUCAUUUCAACCCUCAUGCCCCUAGGGCGUGGUGUUGGGGAUCGGCCAAAGCCCGCGAGGGACGGCCGGCCCCUAAAUCUAGUGGCGGACCCGUCGUGGCCUCCUCUGCGAAGUAGUGAUAUUCCGCAUCGGAGAGCGAUGAGCCCCUGCCGUUAAACCCCCAACUUUCCAAGGUUGACCUCAGAUCAGGUAGGAAUACCCGCUGAACUUAAGUAUAUCAAUAAGCGGAGGA
This 348-nucleotide unclassified non-coding RNA is filed under the name soil metagenome. RNAcentral describes it as "partial contains 5.8S ribosomal RNA, internal transcribed spacer 2, and large subunit ribosomal RNA". The stretch from base 1 to 120 matches the Rfam family "5.8S ribosomal RNA", at positions 35 to 154 of the family's 154-position model. The record is from RNAcentral.